UACGGGGGGGAGCAAGCGUUGUUCGGAUUUACUGGGCGUAAAGGGCGCGCAGGCGGCUCAUUUUGUCAGGCGUGAAAGCCCCGGGCUUAACCUGGGAACUGCGUUUGAUACGGAUGGGCUAGAGUUCGGGAGAGGAGAGUGGAAUUCCCAGUGUAGAGGUGAAAUUCGUAGAUAUUGGGAAGAACACCGGUGGCGAAGGCGGCUCUCUGGACCGAUACUGACGCUGAGGCGCGAAAGCGUGGGGAGCAAACAGG
Molecule: ribosomal RNA, 254 nt
Filed under: uncultured bacterium
Lineage: Bacteria
Description: partial 16S ribosomal RNA
Rfam family: Bacterial small subunit ribosomal RNA
Source: RNAcentral